CCGUUACUGUUUCAACAGCCAUCGGUGUUUUAUGUGUGUAUUCUUAAACAAGUAUUAUUUUUCUCUCGUCUUUAGCAAGUAUCACUCUCUACUGUCCUUAUAUAUUAUUCUAUAUUCUGCAUUUCCAUCCAGAUUCUCGUGUAUACCAUGACGGUCCGGGAUUGGGGGUAUUGUUUAUUUCUGUAUUCUUUAAAUUGUUAUGUCAUUUUUUUCUACAUUUUAUUUAUCUUACUCAUUAUUCUUUCUUUAUUUUUCACAUUUUGUCAUCCCAAUAUAUUUUACUUACUGAUGUUUAG
This 296-nucleotide long non-coding RNA is filed under the name Mytilus galloprovincialis (Mediterranean mussel). Lineage: Eukaryota; Metazoa; Mollusca; Bivalvia; Mytilida; Mytilidae. The record is from RNAcentral.